UCUGUUUCUUAUUUUUAUUGCACUUGUUUUAUAGUUUAUAUUCUGUUUUGACCAAAUAACACGAGACAGUAAUCACCAAAGAGGGAAAAGAAAAAUAAAAAAAAAGAGGAAGCAUGGAACCAAGAGGCUGUGGAUGGAAUUAGUUAGAAGAUACAUCCACUUUCCAUUUUAAAGGUUUUGACAUUUGAUAGGAAGCAAUGUGGAGGAGAAUCUAAUCCAACCACAAAUAGAUGGAAUUACCUUAUUUUAUGUUUUCUACCAUAGAAACUUGCAGUGUCUUUGGCCUAUUAUGCUUGUAUAAAGACAUGCAUAACAGUGUUAUAUUUCACUUUUCACUCACAUUAUUUGUUAGUUGGAUCUUUUGUUAGCCAACAAAAUGUACAAAUAGUGCCUCAUUAAUUGCACAAAGGUGAGAACAAAGAAACUAUAAAAUCGGAUACUCAUUGUUUUAUGCCAUCCAAAUGUCACAUGAAAUUUCCAUUUUACUGAUUGGGAAGUUUGAAGUAGUUAUAUUUUUUCUAGAUACUUUGAAGGAAUAUACAUAAUGUGAGAAUUUUUCUAUUUUAAUAUCCUUCUAUUAUGAAAACUUUGUGUAUUAUAAUUAUUAAAUGUGCCUUUCCACUUGUCUAAAACUAGAAUACACACACGCGCACACACACACACAUACACACACAUGCCUGCAUGCACGCACACCAUGCAUACAUACAUACAUACAUACAUACGUACCUACGUACGUGCGUACGUACCUACGUACGUGCGUACAUUCGUAUUUACGUAUAUAAAUAUGUAUGUAUGAUGCAUAGAUACACACACGCACGCACCCACGCACGCACGCAUAUACAUACACACACACACACAUACAUACAUAUAUAUACACACACAUACAUACAUAUAUCUAUAUAAAUACNN
This 909-nucleotide long non-coding RNA is filed under the name Elaeis guineensis (African oil palm). RNAcentral's name for it is "long non-coding RNA (EGUI_LNC025269)". The record is from RNAcentral. Lineage: Eukaryota; Viridiplantae; Streptophyta; Magnoliopsida; Arecales; Arecaceae.